RNAcentral lists this long non-coding RNA (773 nucleotides) under Triticum aestivum (bread wheat). RNAcentral's name for it is "long non-coding RNA (TAES_LNC003744)". The record is from RNAcentral. Lineage: Eukaryota; Viridiplantae; Streptophyta; Magnoliopsida; Poales; Poaceae.
AACCACGACAGUUGUACAAGCAAUACAACAACUUACACCAUCACUAAAUGUCUAACUGAUGGUAACCUAGAAGUACUAUAUGUCAACGGAGUUGAUCCCAAGUAUGAAAUCUCACGGAGUCUUCUUCACAAAUGAACAAAAUAUACAUCCACAGAAAGCUAAUAGAAGGAGCGAGUAGCUAAGAUCGAAUGAUAAUAAGCUCUGAAAGAAAAAUUAAUCCUGCAUGCAUAAAAAGAAAUUACAAUCCCACAUUUAACAUUGUUAUACCAGUUUUAGAAUACGCCUACAAACAAUCAAAUUUAAAUUUGGCUGAUUAUAACUCUAUGUUUUCUUUAAUCCAAUACUCGUCUUCAGAGAUCAUUAUUAAUUUCGGUAACCACAAGUAAGCAGAGGCAUCAGCUUUGUCGAUCAAUAUUUUAGUUAAUAAAGAAAUGAAAAAGCUUAGUUUGCUCUCACCAAGAAAUAUCACAGUUUAAACCAUGUUCACACACACCAUCUAAACCAUGACUUGGUUCAGUUUUGAUGAGGUGUGUACAGAGAAGAUGGGGAUUUGAGGCGCUCAUCCAAAUUGCCUCCAAACUGAUCGAUCUUCCCGACAAAAGAUGGCCUCGAAAUUGGUGGCACGCUGAUCAUCAGUUUUGGGCUGACCUUUUCAGGUAACAGCAGCAGCGCGUGGAAGAAAACCGACAGCACGCGCGUAGGGACAUGGAUCGUCGGCUGAAAUCUUGCCGUGUACGGCGGUUAGCUACCAGCGUAUAAAAAUAUAGUACUUC